UCAAAACGACUCUCGGCAACGGAUAUCUCGGCUCUCGCAUCGAUGAAGAACGUAGCGAAAUGCGAUACUUGGUGUGAAUUGCAGAAUCCCGUGAACCAUCGAGUCUUUGAACGCAAGUUGCGCCCGAUGCCUCCCGGCUGAGGGCACGCCUGCCUGGGCGUCA
This 163-nucleotide ribosomal RNA is filed under the name Plantago indica (branched plantain). RNAcentral's name for it is "5.8S ribosomal RNA". It matches the Rfam family "5.8S ribosomal RNA". From Rfam's summary of the family: 5.8S ribosomal RNA (5.8S rRNA) is a component of the large subunit of the eukaryotic ribosome. Lineage: Eukaryota; Viridiplantae; Streptophyta; Magnoliopsida; Lamiales; Plantaginaceae. The record is from RNAcentral.